AGCAGCGUGGCUCAGUGGAAAGAGCUUGGGAGUCAGAGGUCACGGGUUCGAAUCCCGGCUCUGCCA
RNAcentral lists this transfer RNA (66 nucleotides) under Ornithorhynchus anatinus (platypus). It matches the Rfam family "tRNA". Rfam says of the family: Transfer RNA (tRNA) molecules are approximately 80 nucleotides in length. The record is from Rfam by way of RNAcentral. Lineage: Eukaryota; Metazoa; Chordata; Mammalia; Monotremata; Ornithorhynchidae.